GAAAUGAGCAAAAACAGGUUAAAGGAGAAUAUUUAUAAAGAAUGGAUUCUCAGAUGCUUAAUGUUUUUCACUGUGGUUGUAUAAAUUCCCAGGGCAGAUUUGCCUCCUGUUGCUGUAACUGAAUACUGAAAUUGGGGCUGCUGCUUGGCAUGGUGAGAUUUCAUGGCACCAAAUCUUGGGCAGAGUAUCAUGACAGGCUUACAAGGUUACACUGGUCAGAGGGCAGAGCUCCUGUGCCAUAUCCUGGGCCAAAUGCCGGGCCUUCCCUUCCCGAUCUGCACUCACACCUGGAGAGUGUGAGGCUCUCAUUGACGUGGUAUGCGCUGUUUCCAGAACCCAGAAAGGACCACGAAACGUUGCCUCUUCUUUCCUGGUGGAGCAGGAACAGACAUCAUGGUCAACAAAAAGACAGAGCAGAAGGUCCUGGAGGCCAGGAGGCUGAGCAGGGAAACAGGGCCAGAGAGGGAAAGGUGGGUCUUCUGGUCCACUGGGCAUUCCUUCACCGGGUGGGCUGAUGGAUCAGGAUGGACAGCCAAGUACUUAGGUGCUGCAGUUCCCUGUGGCUGGAGGAAAGUCUCUUGUGUCAAAACCCCAGUUGCUUGCCAGUAGCUCACUUCCUGUCUCUGUCAUUCUCCCUCCUCCACCGACAGGUUCCAGACUCCCCAAGCAGGCAAAAUGGAGUCACAUUCUAGUAUGUGUCUGCAUCUGCAGAAAUCCAACCUCACACUGUUGAGCAUGUUGUGGUUGGUUUUGCUAGCUUCCAUUCCUGGAAUAAGACACAUUUACUCCACGAGAUGGAUCACAUUUGCUGAACUUGUUCUGCUGAGAUUCUGUGGGAGAGUUCUGGGCCUGCUGUCAGGAGUUAGGCUGGCCUGAAGCUGCCUUCUUCUGAACUGUCCUUGGCAGACUUUCUAGUGAGGUAACGUUAGCCUCAGGUAAUGACACAUCACAAUUUUCUGUUUACUGUGAUAGUUUGUAAAAGACUGGAGUUGGUACUUCUGGAAUGUUUAAAGAUGUUUUCAGCCAUCGGGCCCCAUGAUCUGUGUAGGGCUUUGGAAUAUCUGUGUAUCUAGGCCUCCUGGCUACUCUUCCUUAUCCCAGAUCUCAUCAGCGAUGUCCUAGGCAGGGCAGACUGCUAUGGUUGGACCUGGGGCGUCAACACAGCUUUGCAGAUAGAGGAGGAAGGAGCUCUUUUAUCCUUGCCAGGUAUAAAUAAAUCCCUCUUUUAAAAUAUUCUAAUUUUAAUAAAUAGAAAUUGCUCCCUUACCAGCUGCAUGGCAGGUUUCAGGAAGCCUGCUGCCUUGCUCUGGGAGGCAGGCUGCAUCUGCACCAGCG
This 1335-nucleotide long non-coding RNA is filed under the name Fukomys damarensis (Damara mole-rat). Its description in RNAcentral is "lncRNA (ENSFDAG00000031216.1)". The record is from RNAcentral. Lineage: Eukaryota; Metazoa; Chordata; Mammalia; Rodentia; Bathyergidae.